This 253-nucleotide ribosomal RNA is filed under the name uncultured bacterium. RNAcentral's name for it is "partial 16S ribosomal RNA". It matches the Rfam family "Bacterial small subunit ribosomal RNA", at positions 524 to 776 of the family's 1533-position model. The record is from RNAcentral.
UACGUAGGGUCCGAGCGUUAAUCGGAAUUACUGGGCGUAAAGCGUGCGCAGGCGGUUGUGUAAGACAGAUGUGAAAUCCCCGGGCUCAACCUGGGAACUGCAUUUGUGACUGCACAGCUGGAGUGCGGCAGAGGGGGAUGGAAUUCCGCGUGUAGCAGUGAAAUGCGUAGAUAUGCGGAGGAACACCGAUGGCGAAGGCAAUCCCCUGGGCCUGCACUGACGCUCAUGCACGAAAGCGUGGGGAGCAAACAGG